GUUGCAACACAUAAACACACAAACCUUGUUCAUGAAGUUGAGAGGCAUUAGCGAGAAUGGACCAUUAACACCACAAAUAAUGUGCACCACGAUGAGCCUAUUGCGUUGCAUAUGCUUUCAUAAGCAUUAUCUUUUCCCUUUACCCACCAGGUCACCACUUUGUGAUACCUAUAUAUAAAUCCCUAAUCUUUGUUCAUGAUUUUUACGCCAAAGUAUUAAUUCUUUUAGCCUAGUCUUGC
Molecule: unclassified non-coding RNA, 239 nt
Filed under: Hevea brasiliensis (rubber tree)
Lineage: Eukaryota; Viridiplantae; Streptophyta; Magnoliopsida; Malpighiales; Euphorbiaceae
Source: RNAcentral